UGCGUAGGCGGAUGAAUAAGUCAGUGGUGAAAGGCUGCAGCUUAACUGUAGACUUGCCGUUGAUACUGUUUAUCUUGAGUAUGGUCAAGGCAGGCGGAAUGUGUAAUGUAGCGGUGAAAUGCUUAGAUAUUACACAGAACACCGAUUGCGAAGGCAGCUUGCUGGGCCAUUACUGACGCUGAUGCACGAAAGCGUGGGGAGCGAACAG
This 208-nucleotide ribosomal RNA is filed under the name uncultured Bacteroidota bacterium. RNAcentral describes it as "uncultured Bacteroidetes bacterium partial 16S ribosomal RNA". It matches the Rfam family "Bacterial small subunit ribosomal RNA", at positions 568 to 775 of the family's 1533-position model. Lineage: Bacteria; Pseudomonadati; Bacteroidota. The record is from RNAcentral.